AGAUUGAACGCUGGCGGCAGGCCUAACACAUGCAGGUCGAGCGGUAGAGAGGUGCUUGCAUCUCUUGAGAGCGGCGGACGGGUGAGUAAUGCCUAGGAAUCUGCCUAGUGGUGGGGGAUAACGUUCGGAAACGGACGCUAAUACCGCAUACGUCCUACGGGAGAAAGCGGGGGACCUUCGGGCCUCGCGCCAUUAGAUGAGCCUAGGUCGGAUUAGCUAGUUGGUGAGGUAAUGGCUCACCAAGGCGACGAUCCGUAACUGGUCUGAGAGGAUGAUCAGUCACACUGGAACUGAGACACGGUCCAGACUCCUACGGGAGGCAGCAGUGGGGAAUAUUGCACAAUGGGCGCAAGCCUGAUGCAGCAACGCCGCGUGAGGGGACGACGGCCUUCGGGUUGUAACCUCUUUAGUA
This 412-nucleotide ribosomal RNA is filed under the name uncultured soil bacterium. RNAcentral's name for it is "bacterial SSU rRNA". It matches the Rfam family "Bacterial small subunit ribosomal RNA", at positions 26 to 440 of the family's 1533-position model. The record is from RNAcentral.